Callorhinus ursinus (northern fur seal) is the source of this 695-nucleotide non-coding RNA. NCBI's taxonomy places the organism in Eukaryota, Metazoa, Chordata, Mammalia, Carnivora, Otariidae. The record is from RefSeq and is a predicted model, not a curated record.
UCCCUUCCUUGUGAUUCCUUAAGUUGUCUCCGUCAUGAGCACCGUCCCUGUCAUGACCCAGCACUGAGUUCAGCCAUGUGGCAGAGACGUGGACCAAGGAAUGCCCCUCUCCUCCAUUCCUUCAGAGCAAUUCCAGCUUGCCCACGGCCUGAGUUGUCUUGCUCCAAUUCCCUUACAUAUGUGCUCAGUCGAAAGUAUCCCAAGAACCCAGUGUGACCCAGGGACUAAGCACCUCCCUGCACCUCAACUUCACUAGGUGCUUGAAGAAUGAAAAGGGCGGAAGCUGGGAUAGACUUUUUUCCUCUGGUCAUGCUGAGAAGGUGAUCGCCAAGAUGCACCACAGAGAAAACCAGACUCAGUACCACAUCUGAAAUGUCUUCUCCCUCCGGUGUAGUCCCCAGAGGAACAUGACUCUGCUUCCUCGUCCCUCCUGACUCUGGACUGACCCCUGGACAGGCCCAACUAGUGAAGUUGCUGCCGUUUGAUAACACCCCGUUGCCAUUAGCCGCAAAGACCAACCACACCUGCUUCAUGCUCACAGAUGGGAAUUCACGGAUUCAACAAGCCUUGACUGGCUGCCCCCUACCAGCAGCCACAGAGUACUGGAGACCAGUUGAGCAACCCCAGGAGGCUCCCUGGGAAGACAUGAGGAGACCUUCAGUCCUUUGACGGUCACAUCCACCCCACACGGUACC